RNAcentral lists this long non-coding RNA (334 nucleotides) under Vigna radiata. RNAcentral describes it as "long non-coding RNA (VRAD_LNC008621)". Lineage: Eukaryota; Viridiplantae; Streptophyta; Magnoliopsida; Fabales; Fabaceae. The record is from RNAcentral.
GACGCAAUGGCAAAAUUGAAAUUAUGUUCAAACUUAUUAUGAUAGAGGUAAGAAAACAUGUCGUAAUAGAUUAGAUGCGGUGACAUUUUUGUAAAAAGGGUCAAAAUGUAUUAUUACAGGUAAUAAACCACCUCUCAUAAAAUAUGAAAAUUGUACACAGAGACAAGAUUAAAACAAAACAAAAACAACCUAGAACUAGAACAAUUUAAACAAAGAAAAGCCUAAACAAAGAAAAAUCUAGAGAAAGAAAAAGUUAAACAAUGAAAAAUGAAAAUCUCCCCCAAUAGACCAUAAUUAAACUACACAGUCUCCCCAAUGUAUCACAAACAAAAUA